This 394-nucleotide ribosomal RNA is filed under the name uncultured bacterium. RNAcentral's name for it is "partial 16S ribosomal RNA". It matches the Rfam family "Bacterial small subunit ribosomal RNA", at positions 338 to 729 of the family's 1533-position model. The record is from RNAcentral.
CCUACGGGUGGCAGCAGUGAGGAAUAUUGGUCAAUGGGCGCGAGCCUGAACCAGCCAAGUAGCGUGAAGGAUGACUGCCCUACGGGUUGUAAACUUCUUUUAUAAAGGAAUAAAGUGAGGCACGUGUGCCUUUUUGUAUGUACUUUAUGAAUAAGGAUCGGCUAACUCCGUGCCAGCAGCCGCGGUAAUACGGAGGAUCCAAGCGUUAUCCGGAUUUAUUGGGUUUAAAGGGUGCGUAGGCGGAUGGAUAAGUUAGGGGUGAAAUGUCCGAGCUUAACUCGGGAACUGCCUUUAAUACUGGUGAUCGUGAGAGUAGGAGAGGCAGGCGGAAUGGAUGGUGUAGCGGUGAAAUGCUUAGAGAUCAUACAGAACACCGAUUGCGAAGGCAGCUUAC